UAUAAAACAAAUAAUGAAUGUUUUUAUUCGUGCAAUGGUAAGAAUAUUUUCAUUCGGUGAAAGAUGGAAUGUUCCAUUCAACUCGGCUGUCGCCUCGUUGAAUGGAACAUUCCAUCUUUAAUUCACCGAAUGAAAAUAUUCUUACCAUUGCACGAAUAAAAACAUUCAUUAUUUGUAUACUA
RNAcentral lists this microRNA precursor (182 nucleotides) under Paramuricea clavata. Lineage: Eukaryota; Metazoa; Cnidaria; Anthozoa; Malacalcyonacea; Plexauridae. The record is from RNAcentral.